UGGGGCAUCCAAAAAUCAGAGAGAAAGACCUUUGAGUCGUGGAGAUAUAAUAGACACAAGAUAGGGUGUCUAGGAGAGAGUAAAGAGAAGAAGAAGAGGGUCUUCUUCUAGGGUUGUUAGUUUCAUCUCUUCCCUUCCUCCAUCUUGAGUUUUCUAAGAGCAUCUCAAAUCUAAAAUUUCUCCUCUUACUUUUUAUUUUUAGAAGAGCCCAAAUCAAGAAGAAGGAGGUACCU
This 233-nucleotide long non-coding RNA is filed under the name Elaeis guineensis (African oil palm). RNAcentral's name for it is "long non-coding RNA (EGUI_LNC047581)". The record is from RNAcentral. Lineage: Eukaryota; Viridiplantae; Streptophyta; Magnoliopsida; Arecales; Arecaceae.